UGCCAGCAGCCGCGGUAAUACGUAUGGAGCGAGCGUUGUCCGGAAUUAUUGGGCGUAAAGGGUACGCAGGCGGUUUAAUAAGUCGAAUGUUAAAGAUCGGGGCUCAACCCCGUAAAGCAUUGGGAACUGAUAAACUUGAGUAGUGGAGAGGAAAGUGGAAUUCCUAGUGUAGUGGUGAAAUACGUAGAUAUUAGSAGGAAUACCAGUAGCGAAGGCGACUUUCUGGACACAAAAANACGCUGAGGUACGAAAGCGUGGGGAGCAAACAGGAUUAGAUACCCUGGUAGUCC
RNAcentral lists this ribosomal RNA (290 nucleotides) under uncultured bacterium. RNAcentral's name for it is "partial 16S ribosomal RNA". It matches the Rfam family "Bacterial small subunit ribosomal RNA", at positions 506 to 796 of the family's 1533-position model. The record is from RNAcentral.